GGGGGUGUUCUGGAUUCGACCCUUGGUCGGAGUGCACCGCUGCACGUCGAGGUUGGUGGUUACCUCGUAAAAUCCCCCGCCAAAAAAACUAAGUGGCAACUACGAAGAAAUGCCCCUGGCUGCCUAAAUAAGGCGGUCACGCGUCACCGGCGACACCUGCUAGCCGAAUGAUGCGACGACAGCAGGCAUAGCUCAUGGGGGCGUCAAUGGCCCGUGAGUUGUAUCUUCAAUCCAGCGGCUGGCCGUCAUAUUGCCCGUCCGGGAGCGUUAUGACGGUGAGAUUAAACUCGGGCUAAACGUGUAGAUGUGGUGUGCGAAGGUCAGGGGGACGCGGGUUCAAAUCCCGCCACCUCCACCA
Molecule: transfer-messenger RNA, 358 nt
Filed under: Opitutaceae
Lineage: Bacteria; Pseudomonadati; Verrucomicrobiota; Opitutia; Opitutales
Also listed under: 1 other name
Description: CAJCBL01 sp016711225 Standard tmRNA
Rfam family: transfer-messenger RNA
About the family: Bacterial tmRNA, also known as 10Sa RNA or SsrA, is named for its dual tRNA and mRNA-like properties. Its role is to liberate the mRNA from a stalled ribosome.
Source: RNAcentral